This is a long non-coding RNA of Dipodomys spectabilis (banner-tailed kangaroo rat), 1113 nucleotides long. RefSeq lists it as uncharacterized. The record is from RefSeq and is a predicted model, not a curated record. The transcript has 3 exons. Lineage: Eukaryota; Metazoa; Chordata; Mammalia; Rodentia; Heteromyidae.
UUAAAAUGCAAAGAAACCUUAGCCUGAGCAGAGAAAUGAUGUGAACAAAUGAAUGUGGCUGAUGGAUUUAAGGGACACAGGUCCCCUAAAAAUGAACACCUACACUGGCACACCCAACAUCUAGGCUGGCAAAUCAGUGCAUACACGUAUUUAUUUUCUCUGUGGGUUUCUGUUCAGGUAAGCAGUCUGGAUAAAGCUUUGGUCACAGGCUGUCUUGUCAAGUUCCUGGUGCUUCCUUAUUUAGAACCAGCCAUCCAAGUGUCCUGGGUUCCCCCAAAGGCCAAAGGGAAUGCCUAAUGUCCAAUGGGUGGGGGCUGCCUUUCUCUGCCCCUGGGAAACAGUUCAGUUCCUUCCUGUAAGUCAUCUGUUGUGAAGUUAAAUGCAAACACUCGGAACUGGCUGAUGGAUCAAUUCAUUUUCCUCUCAAAGGUCUGGCGUGUGGUUUUUUUUUGGUGUUUUUUUCCCCCUUCUGCCUUCCUGUUCCCUGGAGUGUAGUAUACAUGUGCUAACUUUGGUAUGUCCUCAGCGUGACCUCCUGGUCGUUAUGUAAAAUACCCAUUGGUUCUGUAAACGGAAAAUAUGACUCAACCGGCACUGUCGGCCCCUGAUUGGCUGCUAGAGUACUAAAACCCUGCACCUGUGCUGGUUACCCGAAUAGCGUCAGCCUGCCAUUGCUUAACCCCCGGGUUGCCAAAUCUGUGCCCAUGACAUUGGCCUGUGCAAUGCAGAUUUCAAAAGCUGGUCAGAUACAAAGUCAUACUUGAAGGCAAUUCAACUCUACACUUUUCAGUGUGUUCUGGAGUUUUAAAGGGGGGGAAUAUACAAAUAGGACUAGCCUUAUGUGACUCCUCUGGGCUCCACAAUUCUACAGGAUUAAUAUUGCUCCUCAUCUUUCCACAAGAGAUGUGGGUCCGCCUCUCCUGACUGGUCUCUCUUAUUCAGCUUCCUGAAUUGCCUUGUCUGAAACUUCCACUUCAAAUCUCAGGUCUCAUUCAUUCUCUUAUCAAGCUCAUCUUGUCCUUUAUGAGGCCACAGGAGGAGCUGUGGCUGCCGCUCACCUCUCCUCCGUGGAGAAGACGAAUUUUCUAAGCUUCAGAUCCCCCAGCACGAUGG